This 497-nucleotide ribosomal RNA is filed under the name uncultured bacterium. RNAcentral's name for it is "partial 16S ribosomal RNA". It matches the Rfam family "Bacterial small subunit ribosomal RNA", at positions 28 to 507 of the family's 1533-position model. The record is from RNAcentral.
GAUGAACGCUGGCGGCGUGCCUAAUACAUGCAAGUCGAGCGAACAGAUGAGGAGCUUGCUCCUCUGACGUUAGCGGCGGACGGGUGAGUAACACGUGGAUAACCUACCUAUAAGACUGGGAUAACUUCGGGAAACCGGAGCUAAUACCGGAUAAUAUAUUGAACCGCAUGGUUCAAUAGUGAAAGACGGUUUUGCUGUCACUUAUAGAUGGAUCCGCGCCGCAUUAGCUGGUUGGUAAGGUAACGGCUUACCAAGGCAACGAUGCGUAGCCGACCUGAGAGGCUGAUCGGCCACACUGGAACUGAGACACGGUCCAGACUCCUACGGGAGGCAGCAGUAGGGAAUCUUCCGCAAAGGGCGAAAGCCUGACGGAGCAACGCCGCGUGAGUGAUGAAGGUCUUCGGAUCGUAAAACUCUGUUAUUAGGGAAGAACAAAUGUGUAAGUAACUAUGCACGUCUUGACGGUACCUAAUCAGAAAGCCACGGCUAACUACGUG